This 347-nucleotide long non-coding RNA is filed under the name Physcomitrium patens. Its description in RNAcentral is "long non-coding RNA (PPAT_LNC005509)". Lineage: Eukaryota; Viridiplantae; Streptophyta; Bryopsida; Funariales; Funariaceae. The record is from RNAcentral.
UCCAACUCCCAAAACCUCUUUAAACUUUUGGCAGAUAUCCUCUAUCCGUACAGUCAGAUUAACACAACUAUGCAUGCAUUCAGCAUAUUCAACCUUCUAGACAACUCUGAAUUUCAACCACAGAAGUAUCCCCCAUUCCAACAACAAUCAAGAGUACCAGCCUUUUCCUCUCUUACGGAAAAUCCAGUUCACCAAUAUAUCACUGACUUUCAGCAACGAUUGCCUCAAUCUUCCCAAAAUCCUAUGAAGAAAAAAAAUCCCAACUCUCUGUCUUUUCCCCCCCAAAACAUGAAGCUAGCUCUCUGACCUAAAAUCCCUAAUUCUCCCCCUUUUUUUCAUUUCUUAAC